CAAAGGAUAGUUUAAUAUUAAAAUAAUAGUUUUGGGAAUUAUUGAUAGAUUUUUUUCUUCCUUUGA
RNAcentral lists this transfer RNA (66 nucleotides) under Pharnaciini sp. NS-2020. Its description in RNAcentral is "tRNA-Pro". Lineage: Eukaryota; Metazoa; Arthropoda; Insecta; Phasmatodea; Phasmatidae. The record is from RNAcentral.